UUGGGUGCUUUUUUUUUUUCUCCUUCCCCCUCCACUAAAUCAACUAAACGUAUAUCCACAAAAAGCCACUGGGAAUAACGGUCAGUAGAGCUUUUUUCUUCCUUAAAAAGGAGAUUUAAGAACUAAUGUGCUAUACCUCAAAGCAGAGUUCAGAAUCAAUUUGCUGUGUUCCUACAAUGAGUGUUGCAGGAGCGGGGCCUGGACCCUGCCUGGCUCUCAAAUAUUCUGCAAAUCUUUAGGGUUUUUUGACUGUGUUUUAAAAUUAUUUAAAGUAUAUAUAGUGGCAGGAAGCGUCCCCUAGAGCGUCCUUUGUAAGCAAAUACAAUCCAGGCAGAGCAAUAGAAAUGACAGGAUUUUGGAAACUGUGUAAUGAGAGCAAGUAGUUACUGUCAAUAGGCAUCGCAACAGUAACAGGUAAAUAUUAUUUUUUUUCAAUUUAACUAGUUCAAAUGUAUUUAACAGGAAGGGAAACCUCGAUUCGGUUAAAUGAAGUAGCCAAAAUUAAAUGAAGUAACUAUGUAAUUUUUCUCAUCUUUUUAUGUGGGUGAUCUUAAAUUUUGCAGCUCUACAACAUGAAUUGUUGCUUUUUGUAACUGAAAAUUAUUUGUUUUAAUGGCUGCUUUUCUUAAAAGAAAAAAGACAGCCAUCUCAGGCUGCUGUAUCUGCCUGUGGCUCUGGCACAGGGUAAUAGUUACAGAACAGCCCCCUUUCCAGGUCGCUGCCUUCCCUCAGACUGGACACAACAGAGGCAGCUGCUGAGGAACAGCACAAACCAGCCGUGGUUGGGAUCAGAGUCUUCUUGAGCACGUCCAGAACAUGCUCUUAAAAUAAGCAGAGGGUCAAAUUAACCGAUGGCUCGAGGAUAAGACUUUUCCACCAUUAUUUUCAUCCUAAAGUUAAUUUUUAACAAUACUUCCUGCCAAGGCCUGAGCUCCUCACUGUUCUAUAACCACUUACUUGUCAGCUUCUUUUUAGAACUGGCCUAUGAAGGCACCAGUAAAGCUCUAAAUCCAGUAAAUCAUAUUAGUGUAAUUCCUCAUCACUAAUGACAAGGCUGAAGGAAGAAGUCUCCCUAAGAGAGAUGCAAGUACUACAAGAACAAUGUUCAAAACGUAAUUUCUGCCCCAAAAUUGUGUCCCUGCUGUAGCUUGUCUCUAGCUGGUCUUGCACACCUUUUUUUUUCCCCAGGGAGAAAUAUUUUCAGUAAUAAAAUACACCCUUUUUUAAUAAAAAAGCCCAUGGAGAGGGUGUUUGCCUCAAGACAGCACAAACCAGGUAACAAUAGUCUGAAAUGAAGAAGUUCACUUGUUUUUCAAAGCUACCUACAGGCACCACGGAGACAAGUUUUAAUGUAAGAGCGCUAAGAUUUAAACUUGGAUCCCUUAAACUCUUCACUCAGCAGCUUUCAUCUACUUUGACAUCAAAUGCUGGUCAAAAAAAGCCUAUUUAUCAAAAAACCUUUAAUUUUUCAAGAGACACAUAACCUGUUUUUAAAAUCAGGAGCUAAUGGUUUCUUUCUGGAAAUCAGAACUAAUGUAAAAGCAGCUUAUCCUUUCUCCUGCCCCCCCACCCCUUCUUAAACUUUCUCUCUUACUACAAUGAAGGUUAAGAUGCGAGUUAAAAUAGUUAAAAUAGCAAGAAUAUUAUGAAAAAUAAUGCAGAACUACAUGGAACAGUUUCCUUCAACCCUCAAUUUACUUUUUAGCAAGCAAAUCUUACGGUUGUGUCCAAUUACCACCAAAGGAUUAGUGUUCUCAUUGUAUGAUAUUCUGAGGACAAAGUCUAGAUAUUAUAUAAAACAAUAAAUUCUUAGAUUAAACCACCUCUUUUUUUGUCAGCUGUGAAGUUCAGCCAAGACAAACCGCUCUCUUCCACCCAAGCAAACACCAGGUUGACAGAAGAGCACCCACAGAGCAAACCCAGUGGUGCUUGGUAGUACCUCCCUGGGGGUUCUUAAUGCACAGAUGCUGCUGAAAGAUUAUUACAGUAGAAUAAAACCCAUAUUGUUAAGAAUAUGAUUGGAAACCUAUAGGUCAUCGUAUCAAGUGUGUUUUUACUAUAUCAUCUAUCCCAGUAACUUUUUAAAAUGAUUCAGAAUGUCAUUUUCUGAGGGUUUUUUCAACUGGAGAUGUGUACGUCCGAACUCUGGAUUACUACAUUAAAUGAUGACAUUGAAUCUUAAA
This is a long non-coding RNA of Calidris pugnax (ruff), 2183 nucleotides long. RefSeq lists it as uncharacterized. The transcript has 2 exons. NCBI's taxonomy places the organism in Eukaryota, Metazoa, Chordata, Aves, Charadriiformes, Scolopacidae. The record is from RefSeq and is a predicted model, not a curated record.